RNAcentral lists this ribosomal RNA (465 nucleotides) under Vreelandella stevensii. RNAcentral describes it as "partial 16S ribosomal RNA". It matches the Rfam family "Bacterial small subunit ribosomal RNA", at positions 338 to 795 of the family's 1533-position model. The record is from RNAcentral. Lineage: Bacteria; Pseudomonadati; Pseudomonadota; Gammaproteobacteria; Oceanospirillales; Halomonadaceae.
CCUACGGGAGGCAGCAGUGGGGAAUAUUGGACAAUGGGGGCAACCCUGAUCCAGCCAUGCCGCGUGUGUGAAGAAGGCCCUCGGGUUGUAAAGCACUUUCAGUGAGGAAGAACGCCUGGUGGUUAAUACCCAUCAGGAAAAACAUCACUCACAGAAGAAGCACCGGCUAACUCCGUGCCAGCAGCCGCGGUAAUACGGAGGGUGCGAGCGUUAAUCGGAAUUACUGGGCGUAAAGCGCGCGUAGGUGGCUUGAUAAGCCGGUUGUGAAAGCCCCGGGCUCAACCUGGGAACGGCAUCCGGAACUGUCAAGCUAGAGUGCAGGAGAGGAAGGUAGAAUUCCCGGUGUAGCGGUGAAAUGCGUAGAGAUCGGGAGGAAUACCAGUGGCGAAGGCGGCCUUCUGGACUGACACUGACACUGAGGUGCGAAAGCGUGGGUAGCAAACAGGAUUAGAUACCCGAGUAGUC